Molecule: unclassified non-coding RNA, 217 nt
Filed under: Hevea brasiliensis (rubber tree)
Lineage: Eukaryota; Viridiplantae; Streptophyta; Magnoliopsida; Malpighiales; Euphorbiaceae
Source: RNAcentral
AGUCACGGCCACCAAAUCGGCCACCCCCACUUCGCCGAUUCUUACCACCACUAUAUGAAGCCCGUGAAGCAUAGCGAGUGAGCCAAGCAGGCACUUCUUGAUUUGCUUCCUGCAUUAAAUCAGCUAGAGAUCUUGCGAGUGACAUAUUGUUCUCAUUAAAGAAAGCUGUGGCUAGUCCUGUUUUUCCAGCUCGUCCUGUUCGCCCUAUCCUGUGAAC